RNAcentral lists this long non-coding RNA (285 nucleotides) under Bos taurus (domestic cattle). Its description in RNAcentral is "long non-coding RNA NONBTAT008235". Lineage: Eukaryota; Metazoa; Chordata; Mammalia; Artiodactyla; Bovidae. The record is from RNAcentral.
AUUUGUAUUAGAAAAGAAUCUGGAAUCUGAGUGCAUGCUGACCUCCCAUUGACUUCUGUUCUAUUACUGUAACCCAUCAGAGAGAUGUGAGGAGUUGGUUGCGAUUCCCAUCGGGAUCAUGUCCAAAGACCACAGCAUCUUUUGGCACCAACAGCUGUCUGUGCUUCCUUAGAAGGAGCCACCUGACAAACAGGUGGUUGAACAAGGUGGCCCCAGGAAAGUAUCUCCAGAGGCAGUUGGAUUUUUGUCUGCUGUUGGGGUGUUUAUUAUCUUGAUGCUGCUCCU